GUAGGGAAUAUUGGGCAAUGGAUGCAAGUCUGACCCAGCCAUGCCGCGUGGAGGAAGAAGGUCCUCUGGAUUGUAAACUCCUUUUUUGGGGGAAGAAUAGUUCUCUUGCGAGGGAAUGUGACGGUACCCUAAGAAUAAGCCACGGCUAACUACGUGCCAGCAGCCGCGGUAAUACGUAGGUGGCAAGCGUUGUCCGGAUUUAUUGGGUUUAAAGGGUGCGUAGGUGGUAUGAUAAGUCAGUGGUGAAAGCUGGUUGCUCAACAAUCAAGUUGCCAUUGAUACUGUCGGACUUGAGAGAAGUGGAGGUUCAUGUAAUGGAUGGUGUAGCGGUGAAAUGCAUAGAUAUCAUCCAGAACGUCGAUUGCGAAGGCAGUGGGCUGUACUUUAUCUGACACUGAGGCACGAAAGUGUGGGGAUCAAACAGGAUUAGAUACCCUAGUAGUCC
RNAcentral lists this ribosomal RNA (445 nucleotides) under uncultured bacterium. RNAcentral's name for it is "partial 16S ribosomal RNA". It matches the Rfam family "Bacterial small subunit ribosomal RNA", at positions 354 to 796 of the family's 1533-position model. The record is from RNAcentral.